CCGGUUGAUCCUGCCGGAGGGGACCCCUAGCGGGCUCGCACUAAGCCAUGCAAGUCGGCUGGGGGCCAAUCCUGCCCCUGGCGGCGCACGGCUCAGUAAUACACGGUCAACCUACCCUGGGGACCGGGAUAACCUCGGGAAACUGAGGCUAAUCCCGGAUAGGAGCAGGGUACUGGAAUGUCCCUGCUCCGAAAGUAGGCGGGGGGGUAGCCCCGCUGAGGCCCCAGGAUGGGACCGUGGCCUAUCAGGUAGUAGGUGGGGUAACGGCCCACCUAGCCUAAGACGGGUGCGGGCGGUGGGAGCCGGAGCCCGGAGAUGGGCACUGAGACAAGGGCCCAGGCCCUAAGGGGCGCAGCAGGCGGGAAACUUCUGCAAUGCGCGAAAGCGUGACGGAGUGAGCCCGCGUGCCGCCCGCUGAGGGCGGCUGUCCCCGGGUGUAAACAGCCCGGGACAGGAAGGGGAGGGCAAGGCUGGUGCCAGCCGCCGCGGUAA
Molecule: ribosomal RNA, 492 nt
Filed under: uncultured korarchaeote
Lineage: Archaea; Thermoproteati; Thermoproteota
Description: bacterial SSU rRNA
Rfam family: Archaeal small subunit ribosomal RNA
Source: RNAcentral